Molecule: ribosomal RNA, 459 nt
Filed under: uncultured bacterium
Lineage: Bacteria
Description: partial 16S ribosomal RNA
Rfam family: Bacterial small subunit ribosomal RNA
Source: RNAcentral
CCUACGGGAGGCAGCAGUGAGGAAUAUUGGUCAAUGGGCGGGAGCCUGAACCAGCCAAGCCGCGUGAAGGACGAAGGUGCCAAGCAUUGUAAACUUCUUUUGUCAAGGGACAAAAUCAGGCUCGAGAGCCUGACCGAGGGUACUUGAAGAAAAAGCAUCGGCUAACUCCGUGCCAGCAGCCGCGGUAAUACGGAGGAUGCGAGCGUUAUCCGGAUUUAUUGGGUUUAAAGGGUGCGUAGGCGGACUGUUAAGUCAGCGGUAAAAGCCCGGGGCUCAACCCCGGCGAGCCGUUGAAACUGGCUGGCUUGAGAUGUCGAGAGGUAUGCGGAAUGCGCAGUGUAGCGGUGAAAUGCUUAGAUAUUGCGCAGAACUCCGAUUGCGAAGGCAGCUCGCUGGGCCGUCACUGACGCUGAGGCGCGAAAGCUGGGGGAGCGAACAGGAUUAGAUACCCGAGUAGUC